GGCGUUGUUCCAUACGCACAUGACUCCCCCAUUGGGGGGCAAAUGAUUACCUGCAAGGGCCAACUGA
RNAcentral lists this small nucleolar RNA (67 nucleotides) under Drosophila ananassae. Its description in RNAcentral is "snoRNA:GF26183". Lineage: Eukaryota; Metazoa; Arthropoda; Insecta; Diptera; Drosophilidae. The record is from RNAcentral.